RNAcentral lists this unclassified non-coding RNA (227 nucleotides) under uncultured fungus. RNAcentral's name for it is "sequence contains ITS1, 5.8S rRNA gene". The stretch from base 179 to 227 matches the Rfam family "5.8S ribosomal RNA", at positions 1 to 49 of the family's 154-position model. Lineage: Eukaryota; Fungi. The record is from RNAcentral.
UCUCCGUAGGUGAACCUGCGGAGGGAUCAUUACCGAGUGAGGGUUCCGGCCCGACCUCCAACCCUUUGUGAAUUCGACCCAGUUGCCUCGGGGGCGACCCUGCCGUCCGCGGCUGAGCGCCCCCGGGGUCAAUCAAACACUGCAUUCUCUGCGUCGGAGUAUUAGUAAAUCUAAUCAAAACUUUCAACAACGGAUCUCUUGGUUCUGGCAUCGAUGAAGAACGCAGC